CAUAACCAAAACCAAGACCCAUCACCAACACCAUGAAACAAAAUGGGGGAAAAUAAGGGUGAUGUCAUGGACUCAGGAAAAUCUAAUUACCGACCCUGUGUCUUCUGUGCCUACUUGUAUAAGUUCAAAAAUAGAAGCCACUAUCCAGGCAGCAAAACCCACAUGACAGCCCAAGUGCACCUUAGUAAUGCACACUCCUCCUCAGGGUCUGAGAAAACAGCAAUACCAAAACUAAGGCAUUUCUAAAGUCCUAUACUGAAUCCUAAGGAAGAAAUCACAUGGGAAAAAUUGUCAUACCUGGAACAUACUGCAUUUUGAAAAAAAAGUACUAAAGGUUAAGAAAAUGUCAC
Molecule: long non-coding RNA, 350 nt
Organism: Bufo bufo (common toad)
Lineage: Eukaryota; Metazoa; Chordata; Amphibia; Anura; Bufonidae
Exons: 3
Source: RefSeq, a predicted model, not a curated record